CUAUACUGACUGAUCCUGCCACAUUGUAUCAGUUAAGCAGGCUUGGACUUGGUCACUACUUGGAUAGGAGACUUCCAAGGAAUAGCUAUGGGCAGUAUUGU
Ribosomal RNA from Chelonoidis abingdonii (Abingdon island giant tortoise), 101 nucleotides. The record is from Ensembl. Lineage: Eukaryota; Metazoa; Chordata; Testudines; Testudinidae.